CUUGCUAUAAUUGUCAGCUAAGUGGCGCACGGGUGAGUAAUGUAUAGAUAACCUGCCCUUAAGAAAGGAAUAACAGUUGGAAACGACUGCUAAUGCCCUAUAUGCCUUUAAUACAUAAGUAUGCAAGGGAAACGCUUUAGUGCUUAAGGAUGGGUCUGUAUGGUAUCAGCUUGUUGGUGAGGUAAUGGCUCACCAAGGCUAUGACGCCUAACUGGUUUGAGAGGAUGAUCAGUCACACUGGAACUGAGACACGGUCCAGACUCCUACGGGAGGCAGCAGUGGGGAAUAUUGCACAAUGGACGAAAGUCUGAUGCAGCAACGCCGCGUGGAGGAUGACACAUUUCGGUGCGUAAACUCCUUUUAUAUAGGAAGAUAAUGACGGUACUAUAUGAAUAAGCACCGGCUAACUCCGUGCCAGCAGCCGCGGUAAUACGGAGGGUGCAAGCGUUACUCGGAAUCACUGGGCGUAAAGAGCGUGUAGGCGGGUAUAUAAGUCAGAAGUGAAAUCCAAUAGCUCAACUAUUGAACUGCUUUUGAAACUGUAUACCUAGAAUGUGGGAGAGGUAGAUGGAAUUUCUGGUGUAGGGGUAAAAUCCGUAGAGAUCAGAAGGAAUACCGAUUGCGAAGGCGAUCUACUGGAACAUUAUUGACGCUGAGACGCGAAAGCGUGGGGAGCAAACAGGAUUAGAUACCCUGGUAGUCCACGCCCUAAACGAUGUACACUAGUUGUUGUGAGGCUCGACCUUGCAGUAAUGCAGUUAACACAUUAAGUGUACCGCCUGGGGAGUACGGUCGCAAGA
RNAcentral lists this ribosomal RNA (800 nucleotides) under uncultured bacterium. RNAcentral's name for it is "bacterial SSU rRNA". It matches the Rfam family "Bacterial small subunit ribosomal RNA", at positions 72 to 893 of the family's 1533-position model. The record is from RNAcentral.